UCGGCGGAGGUCUUGACGUGGUCCUCGGCGCCGGUGAUCUCGAAGUUGUCCCCGAACGACGGGGCCGCCACCGCGUAGGCGCCCUGCAAGCAGCAAGAAACGGCAAUGGCGGCGCACGCCAGGAGAGCGCCGACGCACGGGCGGCGCUUCCACGAGCCCAUCGUCGACAAACCCAGAGAGAAAAAAAGGAUUGUGUCGAUGAGAAGAGGAGAAGGGGCAACGGCAAUGGCGACGGCAAAGCCACACACAAACGGGCAGAGGAGCGGAGCGGACGAGUGUGUGCUUAGCUUUGGUCUCGGGCAAAGCACAAAACAAGACGGACCACCGCGUAACAGCUUUUAUAAACUAGAGAGCGCUUUGACAGGAGUUGUUUAAGCAGCUGCCGUUCUAAAGUGACGCCGGUGCCUCAACAAGCGUGUAGCCGAGCUGGACUGGAAGAGAAGACAGGAUUGUUGCCCUCUGGUUGCGUCCGUAGGGUGAAAUCGCACCGUUGCGCGCGGCUCACUCACCUUUCUCGAGAGCCUCUACUACACUCCUCUUUGACUUUAUUUUAUCUUAUCACCGGCGGCUUUUUUUCAUUUCAAACAGGAUGCUAAGGCGUAUACAUACACUACUGCUGCGGCGUUAAGGCGCAUACAUACAGAUACAGGGCACUCGCUGCCACGCACGGGCUUGAGAUCUGGUUUCUGGCAUCUUUUCGAGAGAGAUGAUGGCCUCCUCUGGUAUCGUCAGUGUAUCCGUCUGCUGCUCGUGGCUGUCACAUGCAUGAGCUUAUCAUGCUCGUUCCGGGAGAGUGGAUUGAUUGUCAUCUGACUAGGAGACCUUGACCCAAGGCAAGGCAGCGUGACUGCCGAGAGCGAAACAGAGUAAAGGCAGGGCACCAGCCAACCAACCUACUCUGUUCUCUACUCUGCAUUUCCCGCUAGGCUUGCCAAAGGUUGUUUGCUCUGUUUCCGAGCGACGAUGGGGCCAUGAAAACCGGACAAGAGAUUUGCACUAGUAGUCCAGGAGGUUUAAAUGCUAGGCCAGUAUGUGUGUGUGUGUGUGUGGCUCGUGGAUGUCAAGGUAAUCAGACGACCGACAGGAUUACAGUGUAGAAAGCAGAGUUGCCGUCUGAUCCAUCGAUGUUUUGAUCCCAAGCAUGUGUGGCUCGUGUAGCACUGAAACCUACUUCUCGUGGAGGUACGAACACUGUCGUUGAAUAGUCGUAUAAAGGUUGAGCACGAAUCUUAUUGAGAUGUGACGAGCGGCGUCAAGCAAUAGAAAACAGGGUCUUGUAGGGCAUGUCGUGAGAGACGGGGUCUUGUAGGGCAGUAGUACUACUAGCUGCGCUAGCUUGGCCGCGUCCAAAACAAACGGGAAGAGGGGCUAGCUAAACCCCGGGUUUCCAGGUUCCUGUCCAUGAUAAGAGUCCGCGAAUAUUGGCUGAUGCUGGCGUUAAUUGUAAGCCAGAACCGCUCCUGGUCGUAGUAGCUGGCAUUUAGCGUUAACAUCUGACACGGGUUUGUGAUCGUGCGCUUGCAGAGAAACGCUGCGGGCCUAUGCAACGGAAAACACUCCUGUGGUGUGUGGAUGCACUCCUGGAAUAAUUUUUUAGCUAGGAAGAGCUGCAUGACUCAAUGAUUAGUCCAUGGAAUAAUUUGACUAGAAGUGUGCAUUGGAUCUGGUCGGUACAGGUUUACUCUUUGUCAUCAGAAGUGAAACGGUGACUUAUCUCAAACCGUGAUCUGAUGAAAAAAAUAAUGAUUUAUGCUCCUUGAAAGUACUAAUCCUGAGUACAAAUCAGGCAUAUUAAAUUCAAGCCAAAUGCUUUAUGAGUUUAGCUCGUGAAAAGGCAACCAGGCAUACGAGCAUAGCUCACACGGUCACACCAGGGUUUUUUUUUCCGGUUUUGCCAUUGAUAAGUUGCCCUUUUUAGUUAGAGAUCAUAUGUUAGUCAUCGGAUCUGAAUACAAUGAUAGUAAAUGAGAGAACGUGGAUGAUCCUCAGAUCAACCCCUAAGACAUAUUUGCAUUCGGUCCCUUCUCCUUUUCUCUUCUUGCACAAAUUGGUCCCUCUUCUCUUCACAUGAGCCAUUGUUUCUUGUUUCCUUUACGCUCAGGUCCUCCAGAAUAUUUCUUCAUCUGCAGCUUAUCCAAAUUAGAAGAAUUUGUGCCUUAAUGCACUGUUCUGCAAGACAUAUUAAUCAUGGUAUUAAUUUGCUCAUUUGGUCGAAUAUUCUACAUAUAGCAUUCGGUUUUGAGGCAAAAUCAACUCUAAAUGAUGCUAAAUGUCAAUUAAGUGAGACAAAAUUGAUGCAAACGUGACCCUGAUCAACCAUAGCCAUCCGAUUAAGAUUUUCCUAUCAUUUGUGCUUGUACGAAUCUUGCACGAGUCUCAGUGAUUGGAUUGGAUGAUUGUUAGCAUCGACUUAGAAAUAAUAAUUUUCUCGUCACCUUAGAAAUAGCAAAAUCUUUUUUAAGGGUGUGGCUAUAAUCUAAGUUGCCUGAUUUUAAGCACAACUCUUAAAUCUAAGUUGACAAAUCAGAAUCAUUGGAUUAGUAUCUAGAUCUCAUUUUACUCUUCGUUUUUCAUCACCUGUCUUGAUUCUUAAAGCACAAAUCAUAUUCAACAGUUGAGGAAUCAACUUAUAUCUAUCUAAAUCAAACAACCUAGAUAUAGUAAAACCGUUUUUUAUAUCUCAUUCAACUUCCUCAAAUAUAAUUAGAACAGCACUUUACUAAAUUCAAGCCAAAUGCUUUACCUUUGUUUCUAGCUUAAGCAGUUGUAAUCUAUUGCACAGCUGUUAGAUGAGAUGCUUUUUUUCUGUGGGGGAGAAUUAAAGAGAUGCUUUAGCUCAGUAGUAGUAUUUAUUUCCUGAAUGAUUAAUGGGAUACUUUGGCUGUCUUUAGGUCUUUAAACGACAAUGUUGAUAAGGUAGAUCGAAGGAAUAAAGGAUGAUUUCCUUUACUGCUGCGUUCUGUGAAACGUUUGCCCAGGAAAGAUCAAGAGAGACGAGAUGGAUCCCUAAAAAAAAGGAGAGACGAGAUGGAAAAGUUUCAGCGGGACAAAGAAACGAGAAGGUUCCUUGAGAACGUGUGAAACAAAGCUUACACAUUGCCACACGGGCUCAGAGUCAAUCUAUUUUGGGCUAACUUGUUUCUAAAGAGGAGCCCGUUUGUAAGUACGUUCGUUUCUCAUUCGAGGUUUCCCGUUCCAUUUUCGGCCUACCGGGCGACCGUAUACGAGCCCAGGACGUUACAGGCCGAACUUCGUCUCAUAUAUUUAUCACGGGCCCUCUUCUGGAUUGGUCUUCCGUCGGUACAUCUACUUUUGUACCGUAGUGGCCGGAGAUUUUCGGUUUCCCUCGCCUCCGGCCGCCCCAUUGGCGCUGCGAGGUGGGGGAAUUUCGGUUUCUUCUAAGAUUAUUUAGAAGUUUUGCUUAUAUCGAUUGUUUGGUUUUGAUCGGCAACGACAUGGCGGAAGGUGCGAUGCGGAAUAAAGGUACCAUGUUUCUUACUCUGUUGUGGUGGUGUCUCAACGGACGUUGCUGUGGAACAAGAGAUUUUUAAUCCCCAUGGAUUUAGUGUAUCCGAUCUUGUGGAUCUUGGGUUUGUGUACUCGCAGAUCCGUUUACAUGUAUCUGUUGAGUUUUUGUUAGUGUGUCAUGGUGCUUUUGUUGGUUUAUGUUUUGUAAUUUUGGAAUACUUUUCAACGCUCAUGGCUUCUCGUCUUUUUGGAUUAGCGACUCAAGGGGCUUUUCGAAACCUUUGAAGGUAGUCAAGUUCGUGCAAGGAUAAUAGUAAUGAUGUGGCUGCUACAGUUCGAUUGCAGUCUUUAUGUUGAAGCCUCAGUAGAAUUUCAUGUUGUAAAAUAUGAGAUCACAGAGAAGAUUUCUUUAAGAAAUUUCAGUUCUUAAUUAUAAAAGUUACCUUAGAGUUUCUAGAGUCUAUGAUCCAAAGCAUUGUACUUGUAAUGAUUCUCUUGUUUGAAUAAAGUUACGGGUUAUUCUAAAAGAAAUCUAUCUUUUGUACCGUGCUUUUAAUAGGGAUGGCACCCGCAACGUAUGGGUACGGGUUGAACCUUCUCAUACCCUUACUCGUCCUCUUUGAGCUUACCCGUUACCCGUACCCAUACCCGACAACGGGUAUAACUUUUUCCCAUACCCGUCACCCGUCUACCCCCGCGGGUAAAAAUACCCUUAAUAAAAUUUGAUCAAUAAGAACAUGUUCCUUAGAAACAUCAUCAUAUUUCUCAAAACCACAACAAUUUUGUGAUCAACAAUACUAUAUCAACACACUAUAAAUAACAAAAACACAUAAAAAGAUAAUAUAUCUUUAAAACGGUAAAUGGCACAUCGCACAUGUAUGACAGUUUAUUAUACGGGUGAACGGGUACAAGGGUAUGGGUUAUGCAUUCCCAUACCCGUACCCGUUCUACCCGAUGGGAAUGAAGUAUUUCCCAUUUGCGUACCCACGUGUUAAAAUUCUGUCCCAAACCCGUACCCUAAUGGGGAUUUACUUGCCGGAUACGCGGGUAAUGGGUACCCAUUGCCAUCCCUGACUUUUAAUAGCUGGCAGUGGCUCUGGCCGGCGGUGGAGAGGAGGUUACAUUUUCUUUUCGAAAUGGAGGAGUUUAUAUGGAAUAAAAGUGUUUAGGGUUCAUCUCUGUUGUAGUGUAGCCUUUCUCUACUGCGUGGAGUCAAUGUUUCUUCCCUUUUUUGCACAAAGAAAAUAAUUCUUAAAGUUCACGCCUUCAUUUUUUGGGUCUCGUUUCUGAUCAGUUCGGUAAUCAAAUAGCGGUUGGGCAACCUGUCUGGUAAAAAUGUGACCCUGCCUACUGUGGGUCCAUCUAUCUUAUAUUAUUUAUGGUUUGUGACCCAUGGCUCAUGCAACUCUCGAAAAUUAGGAGAGUAGUGCAGUUCGUGUCUGUAGUUUCGAAAUUAACAGUAUCUUCCAGCUCGAGCAGAACAAGGGACUACUGCUGUAUCGUUGGUGAGGUUAAUUUACGCUCUUACAUCUCUUAAUAUUAAUAUUGUAUUUCCUCCGUUCCAAAUUAAUCGGCGUCAUUUUUUUUCUUCAAAAAAUCCCCUGUAAAUUUCCGAAAUAAACUUGCAGAAUUUUUGCGAAAAACCUCCUGUAAAUUUUCGAAAUUAACGCGCAGUCCACGUUUAAAUGAAGAUGUGGACUGCAGGUUUAUUUUGAAAAUUUAUAGGGAUUUCUUUGCAAAAAGGCCGGCGACAAUUAAUUAGUCACAGAGGGAGUAGAAGGAAUUUUGGGACACUCGUCCUGAACUAUGUUUCUACGUGGAUGAUCAAACUCAAGACAUUGCGCAAUUAUCCAAGAGGAAAAAUGACAUUCUUGUAGCUGACUUCACGCAGAAGAAGGUGCAUGCUGCUAUUUUUCAAACUAAACAUAUCUUGGCUCCAAUACCAGACGGGUUAUAAAACACGAUCCGAUAGAAAUGUUUGUUCAGCCUCGACAAGCGAGCUGCCUUUGUUUAAGUCGAAUUUUAGAGUCAUCGCCCUUAUCCCUAAAAAAAGUACGGUUCGGAUACAACAAUAUAAACCCAUUUGUCUACUUAAUGCUAGUCUUGAAAUCUUCAUGAAGAUAGGUAUUAAUCGUCAGGGGCGGGCACCGGAUUUUAAGACAUGGUAUUCAAAACUCCAAAGUUUACAAAAUUUAUUGUUUAGAUAGCCUAAAGCCUUGGUUUCUGAAUGGGAACAAAUGGUAUUCCGAUAGGUUCACUUCAUAAUUGAGCGAUUGGGCCGGCAGAGGAGCAACCAGGAAGUGGGUUUAGCUGUUUUCUGAAUUGAAUUCGUUGACUACCAUGACAUUGUUACUUCUCUUCAUAUAUUGUUUUACAUAUACAUACUCGAUAAAAUAUAUACUUGGUUUUUUUACAAGAAUAAUUGUGAUCGUUCAUCAUGUGAUCCGACUUACCCAAACGGCUUUCAUGCCUGAACGGCAUAUCUUAGAAAGGGUAGUUGUCCUUCAUCUCCAUAGAAUUCACGGGGAGCAAAAAUUGAACACGGUUUUUCAGAUAUUAUAUUGUUUGUUCACUUGAACCACCAAAUAUCAAAAUUGAGAUUGUUGGUUAAUACUACCACAUCUCUUUCAGUUUACUAGGCCUAUCUUCAAAAUCACCGUUUUUUUUCAGAUAACUUAGAGGGGAUACCAUGAACCACCAAAUAUCAAAAUUGCUUAGGCCUUGUUCGUUUGCAGAAAUUCCUGCAGGGAUUGAGAGGGAAUCUGGGGAAAUUGAACUGAAUUUCCACUUUUCCCAGGGCAGAAACGAACUGGCCCUUAGUUGAAAUUCAGGGGGAAAAAAUAGAACACAGGUUUUUCAGAUAUUGUUCAAAAAGCCUUAUAAACUGGAAGGGAGGAGCAACAAUUAGUCUCCGCAAGAAAUAGCCCAAACAUUCAGAGUAGUAACGGAGUAAAUAAGCGCACCAGCACCAUGAAACAACUAAAUAACCUUUUUAUUCGCUCCUCUAGUCCCAGAAGGAUCCAUGGAGUUUCACGAGGCCGAUCACACGGCGGCAGCGCUAUGAACAAGACGCUAACAUCACGAAGCUAGAGACAAACAGGGGAGUUAAAACAAGUCGACAAAGCACACAGAAAGUCCUCGUCUCGAAGCCUCCUCUGUUUCAUUCAACCAUCUUAUUGAUUGUCACCCACCCCCUAAAGGGCGUCGCCUCAGGCCGUUUGUUCAGGCGUCCACGACGUCGCCGUUGUUCGCCGAGGCCAGCACCAUCUCCGGGUGCAGCGCCGGGGUCGCGUUCUUGAGCGUCCCGUCGAUGCCGUUCGGCCGGCCGAGCGCCUUCAGAGCCAGGUGCGCCGCCUUCUGGCCGGAGAUCAUCAUCGCGCCGAACGUCGGGCCCUGCAACCAAAACAAAUCCUCAGUCCAAGAACUGAACCGGAUUCCAUUGAUCUGUACUCCGUAUUUUUUAUUUCUAUUUUUGCGAAAACUUUAGUAAUCAUUUCUCACCAUUCUCGGGGCGCCGUCGAUCUCGGCGACCUCCAUGCCGGUGACGAUCAUGCCGGGGACGACCUCGCGGGUGAGGCGCACGAUGGCGUCCUCGGCCAUGUUCAUGUCAAGCGCCUUCAUCCCGGGCACCGUGUCGAUCAUCCCGAUGUCCUGGAGCCUCUUGACUCCCGUGGCGCCGAAGGGCCCGUCGUGGCCGCAGGAGCUCACCACCACCUUGGCCUCCAUGACGUUGGGGUCCAUGCAGGACUGUGUGUCGUGGUUCAUCGACACGAGCGCCCAGUUGGUGACGACGCCGGCGACGCGGUCCUCCUUCACGAUCAGGUCCUCCACGGCCACGGCGUUGAAGAGCUUCACGUUGGGGCGGGCCAGGAGGCGGCUCAUCACCGUGGAGGUGAAGAGCGCGGCGUGCUUGAUGACGACGUAGUCCUCCUGCUCGUCGUACUCGAUGUUGAGCUCGUCGAGGAACAGGUGCGCCGGCUUGCGCACGACCAUGGCGGAGAAGAGCUGGCCCCCGAGCCAGGCGCCGCCCCCCGGGGACACGGACUGCUCGAUGAUGGCGAUGCUGAUGGACGGGUCUUUGGAGAGCUCGUAGGCGCAGGACAGCCCCGCGGAGCCGGCCCCCACGAUGACGACGUCCGUGUCGGCGUAGGUGAUCAUGUCGGUCAUGUACCGGCGGGUCAUCUCGCGGGAGACGAUGGAUUCCUUGAUGGGGCUGAACUUGAAGGCGUUGAGGUCGUAGGGAGGGGUGGAGGCGGAGAUGGAGUUGCAGAUGGCGCCGGCGCGCGGGGUGGCGACGCUGGACGGGGUGCGCGCGGCGGCCGCCGGGAGGCGAGCGCCGGCGAAGGAGGUCUUGAGGAGGCUGGAGGCGGAGGUGGCCAUGGCUGCCAUGGUGAGGUGGAUCUGGUUCCGUGCGAAGUUUCUUGGGUUUCUGGAGAUGGGUGGAUGGGGAUAAGGGGCGGUGGCAGGGUAUAAGAAGAGGAGAGGAGCAGGCAAAUAUCCGGUGGUUGUGUGUACGUGCGAUCAGAUCCGAAGGUGUCGGCCUUUGGACUCAUCGGGGAUAUUUUGUGUGGUCUCUUGGCAUGAGUUACUGUGCUUAUUAAUGACCAUCAGCUCAUACAGUAGUGUUAUGUUAUGAAACACCA
RNAcentral lists this long non-coding RNA (8111 nucleotides) under Brachypodium distachyon (stiff brome). RNAcentral describes it as "long non-coding RNA (BDIS_LNC000361)". The record is from RNAcentral. Lineage: Eukaryota; Viridiplantae; Streptophyta; Magnoliopsida; Poales; Poaceae.